CCUACGGGCGGCAGCAGUGGGGAAUAUUGCACAAUGGGGGAAACCCUGAUGCAGCGACGCCGCGUGAGUGAAGAAGUAUCCCGGCAUGUAAAGCUUUAUCAGCAGGGAAGAAAAUGACGGUACCUGACUAAGAAGCCCCGGCUAACUACGUGCCAGCAGCCGCGGCAAUACGUAGGGGGCAAGCGUUAUCCGGAUUUAUCGGGUUUAAGGGGUGCGCAGGCGGAGUGGCAAGUCAGCGGUCAAAUUGCGGGGCUCAACCCCGUCCUGCCGUUGAAACUGCAUCCCUUGAGUGCGCGAGAGGUAUGCGGAAUGCGUGGUGUAGCGGUGAAAUGCAUAGAUAUCGCGCAGAACUCCGAUUGCGAAGGCAGCAUACCGGCGCGGAACUGACGCUCAUGCACGAAAGCGUGGGUAUCGAACAGGAUUAGAUACCCGAGUAGUC
Molecule: ribosomal RNA, 439 nt
Filed under: uncultured bacterium
Lineage: Bacteria
Description: partial 16S ribosomal RNA
Rfam family: Bacterial small subunit ribosomal RNA
Source: RNAcentral